GCAGCGGCGGCGCUGGGGAACCUGGUCUCAGAUUUGGCGGGUCUCGGUCUUGCAGGUUAUGUGGAGGCUCUGGCGUCCAAAUUUGGGAUGCAGGGUCCAGAUUUGACGCCCAAACAGGCGGACAUGUGGCAGACCAAGCUCAGCUCGCACAUGGGUAAAGCCAUCGGCGUCUCCAUCGGCUGUAUCUUGGGGAUGUUCCCGCUGCUUUUCCUGAGCGACGACGACGACGACGACGACGACGACGACGAGAAGGAGAAAGAAGCACAACCCUGCAGCGACGCGGCGUCACACUCCUCCUAACUGCAGCCGCACAACGCCGUCACGCCGUCACGCCGACACGCCGACACGCCGACAGGCCGGAUACUGCUGAUGUCAACUUAAAAAUAAGAACAAGUAUUUCAGCUGGAUGUUUCUCUGUCCUCAGGCAGCGUUCACACGUCCUCUCUGCAAACCCUCUGAGGCCGUUUGUAAAAACUCAAGAAAGUUCGCUCCGUCACAACUUCUGCUGCUGCACCGAGCUGUUUUCACACAGAAACACAAACCAUCUGCUGAGGCAAUAUCUCUCUUUGACUCACUCAGACGCACUCAGACUCAGAGUCACUCUGACUCACUCAGACUCAGACAC
Non-coding RNA from Plectropomus leopardus (leopard coralgrouper), 625 nucleotides. Lineage: Eukaryota; Metazoa; Chordata; Actinopteri; Perciformes; Serranidae. The record is from RefSeq and is a predicted model, not a curated record.